This 210-nucleotide long non-coding RNA is filed under the name Lathyrus oleraceus (garden pea). Its description in RNAcentral is "Pisum sativum (pea) long non-coding RNA (PSAT_LNC039609)". The record is from RNAcentral. Lineage: Eukaryota; Viridiplantae; Streptophyta; Magnoliopsida; Fabales; Fabaceae.
UGAGUUUGGGUUUAGGUUUAAAGAGAGAGCUUAAGUGUGAUUUUGGCAGAACUUCUAGGGGUUGCUAGCUUGCCAAAAUAAGGGGAAUGAUAUUCUAUUUAUAUGGCAAGCACAUGGGUUGGUGUGAGUGAAAUUUGGGUUCACUUAUGUAAAAUUAGCUUGGAAUGUCUGUUUUCUACAGGUGUAACCGGUUACCAAGAUUUGGGUAAC